This 71-nucleotide transfer RNA is filed under the name Phytophthora quercina. RNAcentral describes it as "tRNA-Cys". It matches the Rfam family "tRNA". Rfam says of the family: Transfer RNA (tRNA) molecules are approximately 80 nucleotides in length. Their secondary structure includes four short double-helical elements and three loops (D, anti-codon, and T loops). The record is from RNAcentral. Lineage: Eukaryota; Oomycota; Peronosporomycetes; Peronosporales; Peronosporaceae.
GGCUAAAUAACAUAAUGGUAAUGUAGAGGACUGCAAAUCCUUUAAUGACGGUUCAAUUCCGUCUUUAGCUU